UGGGGAAUCUUGCGCAAUGCGCGAAAGCGUGACGCAGCAACGCCGCGUGGGGGAAGAAGGCCUUCGGGUUGUAAACCCCUUUCAGUUGGGACGAAGCUUCGUCGGUGAAUAGCCGGCUGGAGUGACGGUACCUUCACAAGAAGCCCCGGCUAACUACGUGCCAGCAGCCGCGGUAAUACGUAGGGGGCUAGCGUUGUCCGGAAUCAUUGGGCGUAAAGCGCGUGUAGGCGGUCCGGUAAGUCCGCUGUGAAAGUCGAGGGCUCAACCCUCGAAUGCCGGUGGAUACUGUCGGGCUAGAGUACGGAAGAGGCGAGUGGAAUUCCUGGUGUAGCGGUGAAAUGCGCAGAUAUCAGGAGGAACACCAAUUGCGAAGGCAGCUCGCUGGGACGUUACUGACGCUGAGACGCGAAAGCGUGGGGAGCAAACA
RNAcentral lists this ribosomal RNA (427 nucleotides) under uncultured bacterium. RNAcentral describes it as "bacterial SSU rRNA". It matches the Rfam family "Bacterial small subunit ribosomal RNA", at positions 355 to 774 of the family's 1533-position model. The record is from RNAcentral.